UGAGGGUUAGGAUCACGUUUCUGGAAUCUGCAAAAUCGAGCAAUAUGCCCACUUUUGCCAUAAACAAAGUACGGUCCCUUAUCUUGAACUUGUUGAUUUUGUGCUUGGUUAUUUUCACCAUUAUUUUUCUUGGGAGGUCUACUAUUAUUUUUCUUAAAUUUUUUCUUCUUAGGCUUCAAAGAAGUAUUUUUGUGAGUUUCAAGAGUAGCAUUAUUUGAAGUAAUUAAAUUUACAUUCGUUGUGAUGUUGCUCUCUUCUUUUUGUAAAAGUGUAUCUUGACCCCUUGCCUCUUCACCAUCAUACUUUUCCACUUUCUCAUGAUGAGAAAUAAGUUCAUCAUCAUCCAG
RNAcentral lists this long non-coding RNA (347 nucleotides) under Solanum tuberosum (potato). RNAcentral describes it as "long non-coding RNA (STUB_LNC002885)". The record is from RNAcentral. Lineage: Eukaryota; Viridiplantae; Streptophyta; Magnoliopsida; Solanales; Solanaceae.